This 300-nucleotide ribosomal RNA is filed under the name uncultured Lactobacillus sp. RNAcentral's name for it is "bacterial SSU rRNA". It matches the Rfam family "Bacterial small subunit ribosomal RNA", at positions 496 to 795 of the family's 1533-position model. The record is from RNAcentral. Lineage: Bacteria; Bacillati; Bacillota; Bacilli; Lactobacillales; Lactobacillaceae.
GCGAACUCCGUGGCAGCAGCCGCGGUAAUACGGUGGAUGCAAGCGUUAAUCGGAAUUACUGGGCGGAAAGCGCGCGCAGGCGGCUUAUUAAGUCAGAUGUGAAAUCCCUAGGCUCAACCUAGGAACUGCAUUUGAAACUAAUAAACUAGAGUAUCGUAGAGGGAGGUAGAAUUCCAGGUGUAGCGGUGAAAUGCGUAGAUAUCUGGAGGAAUACCAGGGGCGAAGGCGACCUCCUGGACGAAAACUGACGCUCAAGCACGAAAGCAUGGGGAGCAAACAGGAUUAGAUACCCUAGUAGUC